Molecule: ribosomal RNA, 480 nt
Filed under: uncultured bacterium
Lineage: Bacteria
Description: partial 16S ribosomal RNA
Rfam family: Bacterial small subunit ribosomal RNA
Source: RNAcentral
AUGAACGCUGGCGGCGUGCUUAACACAUGCAAGUCGAACGCAACACCUUAUUUGAUUUUCUUCGGAACUGAAGAUUUGGUGAUUGAGUGGCGGACGGGUGAGUAACGCGUGGGUAACCUGCCCUGUACAGGGGGAUAACAGUCAGAAAUGACUGCUAAUACCGCAUAAGACCACAGCACCGCAUGGUGCAGGGGUAAAAACUCCGGUGGUACAGGAUGGACCCGCGUCUGAUUAGCUGGUUGGUGAGGUAACGGCUCACCAAGGCGACGAUCAGUAGCCGGCUUGAGAGAGUGAACGGCCACAUUGGGACUGAGACACGGCCCAAACUCCUACGGGAGGCAGCAGUGGGGAAUAUUGCACAAUGAGGGAAACCCUGAUGCAGCGACGCCGCGUGAGUGAAGAAGUAUUUCGGUAUGUAAAGCUCUAUCAGCAGGGAAGAAAAUGACGGUACCUGACUAAGAAGCCCCGGCUAACUACGUG